This 291-nucleotide long non-coding RNA is filed under the name Medicago truncatula (barrel medic). Its description in RNAcentral is "long non-coding RNA (MTRU_LNC004115)". The record is from RNAcentral. Lineage: Eukaryota; Viridiplantae; Streptophyta; Magnoliopsida; Fabales; Fabaceae.
UCAGCUCCUAAGUCACCCACUUGAUUCCUAAAGCUCUUCUCUCCAAAACCCUUUUGCUCUUCUCUUCACCUCUUUCUCUCUCUACCUCUCUCUAGAAAUAUUUUUGUGAAAUGAAUGAAUUGAUUCUUCUAACACAACCCUAGUGUUAUCUCCACUAAUGGGCUUAACUUAGUUUCUAGUGGGCUUAACCCAUUUCUAUUCAAACCAAAAAUAUUACUACACUCCAAACGAUAUUUUAAUUAAUAACGGUAAAAUGUAACCAACGGUCACUAACGGUAAAAACUAAUCACU